This 166-nucleotide ribosomal RNA is filed under the name uncultured bacterium. Its description in RNAcentral is "partial 16S rRNA". It matches the Rfam family "Bacterial small subunit ribosomal RNA", at positions 355 to 511 of the family's 1533-position model. The record is from RNAcentral.
UAGGGAAUCUUCGGCAAUGGGGGCAACCCUGACCGAGCAACGCCGCGUGAGUGAAGAAGGUUUUCGGAUCGUAAAGCUCUGUUGUAAGAGAAGAACGUGUGUGAGAGUGGAAAGUUCACACAGUGACGGUAACUUACCAGAAAGGGACGGCUAAACUACGUGCCAA